GGGAAAGCCUUAACGGCGCGGGAUGGGGUCGCGGCCCAUUAGGUAGACGGCGGGGUAACGGCCCACCGUGCCCGCGAUGGGUAGCCGGACUGAGAGGUCGACCGGCCACAUUGGGACUGAGAUACNACCCANACUCCUACUUNANNCACCANUNANNAAUUUUACCCAAUNUNAANAACCCUNACNCANCAACNCCGCNUNCNNNACAAAACCCUUCNCUUUCUCCCCCCCUUUCNNCNNNNNNNNCNUNNNCNNUNCCUGCAGAAGAAGCUCCGGGCUAACUACGUCCCAGCACCCGCGGUAAAACUAGGGGGCAAGCUUUGUCCGGAAUUACUGGGGGUAAAGGGAGCGCAGGCGGGAGACAAGUUGGAAAGUGAAAACCAGGGGGUCAACCCAUGAAUUGCUUUCAAAAACUGUUUUUUUUGAGUAGUGCAGAGGUAGAUGGAAAUUCCCGGUGUAGCGGUGGGAAUGCGUAGAUAUCGGGAGGAACACCAGUGGCGAAGGCGGUUUACUGGGCACCAACUGACGCUGAGGCUCGAAAGCAUGGGUAGCAAACAGGAUUAGAUACCCUGGUAGUCCAUGCCGUAAACGAUGAUUACUAGGUGUUGGGGGAUUGACCCCCUCAGUGCCGCAGUUAACACAAUAAGUAAUCCACCUGGGGAGUACGACCGCAAGGUUGAAACUCAAAGGAAUUGACGGGGGCCCGCACAAGCAGUGGAGUAUGUGGUUUAAUUCGAAGCAACGCGAAGAACCUUACCAGGUCUUGACAUCCGAUGCAUAGCACAGAGAUGUGUGAAAUCCUUCGGGACAUCGAGACAGGUGGUGCAUGGUUGUCGUCAGCUCGUGUCGUGAGAUGUUGGGUUAAGUCCCGCAACGAGCGCAACCCUUAUUGCCAGUUACUACGUUAAGAGGACUCUGGCGAGACUGCCGUUGACAAAACGGAGGAAGGUGGGGAUGACGUCAAAUCAUCAUGCCCUUUAUGACCUGGGCUACACACGUACUACAAUGGCGUUAAACAAAGAGAAGCAAGACCGCGAGGUGGAGCAAAACUCAAAAACAACGUCUCAGUUCAGAUUGCAGGCUGCAACUCGCCUGCAUGAAGUCGGAAUUGCUAGUAAUCGCGGAUCAGCAUGCCGCGGUGAAUACGUUCCCGGGCCUUGCACACACCACCCGUCA
RNAcentral lists this ribosomal RNA (1176 nucleotides) under uncultured bacterium. RNAcentral describes it as "partial 16S ribosomal RNA". It matches the Rfam family "Bacterial small subunit ribosomal RNA", at positions 200 to 1399 of the family's 1533-position model. The record is from RNAcentral.